ACGGGUGAGUAAUGUCUGGGGAUCUGCCCGAUAGAGGGGGAUAACCACUGGAAACGGUGGCUAAUACCGCAUGACGUCGCAAGACCAAAGAGGGGGACCUUCGGGCCUCUCACUAUCGGAUGAACCCAGAUGGGAUUAGCUAGUAGGCGGGGUAAUGGCCCACCUAGGCGACGAUCCCUAGCUGGUCUGAGAGGAUGACCAGCCACACUGGAACUGAGACACGGUCCAGACUCCUACGGGAGGCAGCAGUGGGGAAUAUUGCACAAUGGGCGCAAGCCUGAUGCAGCCAUGCCGCGUGUAUGAAGAAGGCCUUCGGGUUGUAAAGUACUUUCAGCGGGGAGGAAGGCAGUGAGGUUAAUAACCUUACUGAUUGACGUUACCCGCAGAAGAAGCACCGGCUAACUCCGUGCCAGCAGCCGCGGUAAUACGGAGGGUGCAAGCGUUAAUCGGAAUUACUGGGCGUAAAGCGCACGCAGGCGGUCUGUUAAGUCAGAUGUGAAAUCCCCGGGCUUAACCUGGGAACUGCAUUUGAAACUGGCAGGCUUGAGUCUCGUAGAGGGGGGUAGAAUUCCAGGUGUA
RNAcentral lists this ribosomal RNA (579 nucleotides) under uncultured bacterium. RNAcentral's name for it is "bacterial SSU rRNA". It matches the Rfam family "Bacterial small subunit ribosomal RNA", at positions 102 to 677 of the family's 1533-position model. The record is from RNAcentral.